RNAcentral lists this long non-coding RNA (1506 nucleotides) under Equus caballus (horse). RNAcentral describes it as "lncRNA (ENSECAG00000051025.1)". Lineage: Eukaryota; Metazoa; Chordata; Mammalia; Perissodactyla; Equidae. The record is from RNAcentral.
GGGUAAGUUGGUUAGUAAUCCCGUUAGAUCUAGGAUUUGAGCCUGGGGAUGACCAUUCCAGAGGCUGAUUUCAUACUCACUGCCCUAUACCGGCGGGAAUAGCGGUCCUCACUGCCACCCAGGAAUAACCAUCCAGAAAUAAUGUGGCCUCCCCUCACUAUCCCACUGUAAAUUAGACCUCACCCCAACCUUCAUUGACGUGGUUCCUCCUGCCGACCGGGCAAGGGUUACAGGAUCCCCACAAUAAUCAGUGACUGCCACCUAGUGGCGCCGUGUGGAAUGCCACCUUUCUUUUCUCUCCCUUCUUCACCUGAUCCGGGGCUUCAACCACCAAAACCCAAAAUGCGAAAAGCUUGCUCCUUGCUCCUCUUUGGUUCAGCAUCCGGAAUAAGAACUACAGAGUCAGCCAGAGCUGCCCGGAAGGAGGAGGUCCUUCCUGACGCCCCGACUCGGAGAUGAACCUGGUCCUCUUACUGGGGAGAGCCCUGGAGAAGUUGCCGCCUUCUCUGCUGUUAUCAAGAGUUGGAGGAGCCAUGUGAUUUCCUGCGCAAGGACUGCAGACAACCGUGACUCAGUGAGAAGGGGCACAAUGCUCUCGUGGGGGAGUCACUCCCACGAGGAGUCCUCCUCUCGAGGAGGAGCCCUGACCUCCCCUGCUCUCCCACUCCACUCUUUCCCUCUCUGAAGCCUUGUGACUGUUCUUCCCUCCAUCCAGCCAGUUCAGGCCAAUCUUGAUCCAUUUCCUCCAGCCCCCCCCCAUAGCUGGGCCAUGAUAAGUCAACUGUCAUUCUUAUCACACAGCCAUAGCCUUCCAGUCCCGGUCAAGAUGAGACAAGAGAUCGGUGAAGCCCACUCCCCAAGGGGCCUUUAUAGAAAGGAUCCUGUAACCCAGUGGCUUUUCUAUCCCCCAGCCCAACCUCAUCAUAUUCUGCUUCCACUUUCCUGGACUCCUCUAGAUUCCCUAGGUCACAAUGGCCUUCUUCCCCAUCCCCUCAAUCCACAGGCUCCCACCUUGUACGGGAAUUGAGGAGCUAAUCUAAUUCCACUACAGAUGAGUUCUCUUUCCCACAAGGGCUGUGCUUCUUAAAUGUUGACUAAAUUUGAAAAUGGACUUUGUCACGUCAAAUAUUCUUCACCUUCGUUUCGUUUCGCUCUUUGGUUGGCAGAUGUUUCUUGCAGUCAAGCUUUACAAGUUCUCUGCCCAGAAUGACCUCCCAACCCUCACCUCUCCAAGUCAUCUGUUCAGCCAUUAACUCUUUCAUGCUUGCAGACAUAGAUGCAUGCACUUUAAGAAGACCAUUUGCUGAGCACUGGAUCAGGCACUGUUCUAGGCAUCGGGCCACAAAGACAUGUUCAUUAGUCUCAACGAGCUCACAGUGAAAAAGGAGAGAAAUGUGUCCUCAGAUGCUUAAAGUACAAUGUGAUAAAUGCUUUGAUAUGGACAUAUUUGUGGCUGUGUAAGCAAAGGACAGAUACCCAAAUUAAAUUCUUUUUAGCAAAAAAUGG